CGCCCCUCUCACCAUCGAAGAAUCGCUUUUUAACCUUUUUUAUUUUCUUUUGGCACGAAAUAUAUAAAUUCAAAGCCAUAUUUUCGUGGUUGCAAAUGGCGCCAGCUACUAGCUUCACCCUCUGCUCUUUUCAAGUUUCUUGCUUGGAGUUUCUCUUCAUCUUGACCGCAUGUGGUUGGAAAAAUUUGCUCCCUUUGCAACAAAAGAGUCUAUCUUGAACAAAAGACGAGCUUUGAUCAACUUAUUUUUCUUUCUCCCAAAUAGGGAAAAAAAGAAAAGAAAAGAGAAAUAUGUUUCCAAGCUCAGAGGAAAGUUGUAGCAAGGUUUAUGGUGCAGCUUCAAAACCUUUCUUGGAAUGUAACCAGUCUUCUUAAAAGUGUCCUGCUAUUAUGUGUUCUACUUUACAGGGAGAGGAUCUAUCUAGUUUGACCUAUCAUGGGGAAAACGACCCCAAGCCAAAUGGAACUGGAUGCUGUAACUUUAAUUAUGAAGAUAUCGGGAAGGAUACUGGGGCUUGAUUGAACAGGAGGGAGACUGUUUGUUUAGUAUUCAUGGGCAAGCACCUAGCCGACAAACUAAAGGGGUGAGUUAGUGGAGGAUCACAUCUUCCUUUUUCAAAGGUUUAGAGGGAUGUCUGGAUAAACUAUUCAUUCAAUUACCUGUAUCAUGGCUGAACAAGGUUUUGAGUUAAAUGAAAAACCACCACAGCCAGAACAGGAUGAUGUUAACACAAACCAAACCGAAGUG
Theobroma umbraticum is the source of this 747-nucleotide long non-coding RNA. RefSeq lists it as uncharacterized. NCBI's taxonomy places the organism in Eukaryota, Viridiplantae, Streptophyta, Magnoliopsida, Malvales, Malvaceae. The record is from RefSeq and is a predicted model, not a curated record.